Molecule: ribosomal RNA, 437 nt
Filed under: uncultured Treponema sp.
Lineage: Bacteria; Pseudomonadati; Spirochaetota; Spirochaetia; Treponematales; Treponemataceae
Description: bacterial SSU rRNA
Rfam family: Bacterial small subunit ribosomal RNA
Source: RNAcentral
ACGGGAGGCAGCAGUGGGGAAUAUUGGGCAAUGGGCGAAAGCCUGACCCAGCAACGCCGCGUGAAGGAAGAAGGUCUUCGGAUUGUAAACUUCUUUUAUGAGGGACGAAGGACGUGACGGUACCUCAUGAAUAAGCAACGGCUAAUUACGUGCCAGCAGCCGCGGUAACACGUAAGUUGCGAGCGUUGUUCGGAAUUAUUGGGCGUAAAGGGCAUGUAGGCGGUUUUGCAAGCUUGGUGUGAAAUCCCGGAGCUCAACUCCGGAAUUGCGUUGAGAACUGCAUAACUAGAGUCACUGAGGGGCAAUCAGAAUUCCAGGUGUAGGGGUGAAAUCUGUAGAUAUCUGGAAGAAUACCAAUGGCGAAGGCAGGUUACCAGCAGAUGACUGACGCUGAGGUGCGAAGGUGCGGGGAGCAAACAGGAUUAGAUACCCUGGUA